Molecule: ribosomal RNA, 495 nt
Filed under: uncultured bacterium
Lineage: Bacteria
Description: partial 16S ribosomal RNA
Rfam family: Bacterial small subunit ribosomal RNA
Source: RNAcentral
GAUGAACGCUGGCGGCGUGCCUAAUACAUGCAAGUAGAACGCUGAAGGAGGAGCUUGCUCUUCUGGAUGAGUUGCGAACGGGUGAGUAACGCGUAGGUAACCUGCCUGGUAGCGGGGGAUAACUAUUGGAAACGAUAGCUAAUACCGCAUGACAACAGUUAUUGCAUGAUAACUGUUUAAAAGGGGCAACUGCUCCACUACCAGAUGGACCUGCGUUGUAUUAGCUAGUUGGUGAGGUAACGGCUCACCAAGGCGACGAUACAUAGCCGACCUGAGAGGGGGGUCGGCCACACUGGGACUGAGACACGGCCCAGCCUCCUACGGGAGGCAGCAGUAGGGAAUCUUCGGCAAUGGACGGAAGUCUGACCGAGCAACGCCGCGUGAGUGAAGAAGGUUUUCGGAUCGUAAAGCUCUGUUGUAAGAGAAGAACGAGUGUGAGAGUGGAAAGUUCACACUGUGACGGUAUCUUACCAGAAAGGGACGGCUAACUACGUG